RNAcentral lists this long non-coding RNA (1686 nucleotides) under Betta splendens (Siamese fighting fish). Its description in RNAcentral is "lncRNA (ENSBSLG00000020714.1)". The record is from RNAcentral. Lineage: Eukaryota; Metazoa; Chordata; Actinopteri; Anabantiformes; Osphronemidae.
GUCGGGGUCCCUGUCCCGCGUACGUUUUGGCCGUUUGAUUUCUGCACCAGAUCAAAACUGAAUAUUUCAUUUUAUUCCUCGUGAGUCCUUUUUUGGUAUGAUCAAAAUAUACAUCCUUAUUAGUGCUACUAAACUAUUCUGAUCUAUUCUGAUUUAAUAGUUCAUACAGUUGUUACAUCCUAAGUACAAGCAUUUUUACCAUUUUUCCAACAUAGUCACAAUCUCAGUGGAACGUAAACAUGGACUAAUACAAAGAAAAGUAUGUGUUUAACAUCAAAUUGCUUUAUUAAAGCUUGUAUCAGAUGUUUUUACAAUAUCUAUGAAACUGAUUCUUGACGUCUCGCCUUGACCGUCUUGAGUUGAAGAGCUUCCAAACCCAGCAGCCCAUGGGAAGCAGUGACCCAGUCACUUCCUCCUCUUUGUCUCCACUGAAGACUGGAGGGAUUGAAGAGGUGCAGGCUGCAAGAAAAACCAUCAGGAACAGAUGCAUUGUUAACAUACGUCUCUACAUUAGAGACUCUGGAAACACAGGGGAUAACAUCUCUCCAGGACCUAUGGCUGUCAUCUGGUCUCUGUCGUCAAGGAAACCCUGUAUGACGUUCUCCAGCCUCCACAGCUGCACCUGUCAUCAGGACUCUGACCUUACUCUCCAUCAGCUCUGGUAUUUCAGGACCAGCGACACUUAAUUUUCCUAAGGAAGGCAAAGGGGGAAAAGACAGAGAGAGAACGAGAUCAGGAAAGGGAGGGAGCUUGGAGAGAGAGAGAAGGAGCGAGGGAGAGGGAGCAAGAGAAUGAGGGAGAGAGGGAGCUUGGAGAGAGAGGGAAAGGGAGCAAACUAAGGAGAAGGAGAGCGGGCAAAAGGAAAAGGAGGGAGGGUGAGAGGGAAAGGGAGGGAGCUUGGAGAGACAAAAGGAGACUGAGAGCGAUUGAGGGAGCUUGGAGGGAGAGACGGAGGGAAGAAGAGAGCUUGACUAAAAAGGGGGAGGUUGGAGAGAGGGAGGGACAGAUGGAGCUUGGAGGGUGAGAGGGAGGAAGAGAGUUUGACUACAAGGAGGGAGGUUGGAGAGAGAGCGAAGCAGAGAGCUUGACUAAAAGAAGAGAGGGGGCUUGACUUGAAGGGUGACAGGGAGGGAGGGAGAUUGGCUAUAAUGAGGGAGGUGGACAAAAGGAGGGAGGUUGACUAGAAGGACAGAUGUUGACUGGAAGGAGGGAGGAGCGCCCUCAUCUUCAACAGCUUUCCCCCUGUAAGGGAUGCGGCUGCUGGAGUCUAUCCCAGCAAUCAUUUGUGCUUGACCUCAUUAAUUCUAAUGCCCCCAUGUCAUUAUCAUAUUAAUAGAGAUAGUUUAAAUUAAAUUUUUUUUUUUUUAAGUAGAGGUGGAGCAGCAGCAUCAGCCCCCACCUCGCCCCCUACAUUUGACCUCUGUUGCGGUGUCGCUCACCUGACCGUCUCUUGUAUUGUUCGAGUUUUCCAAUCAAUCACCAUGGCCCUGACCCCAGUCCCACUCGCUGGCCACCUCCAGCUCACCGGGGGGAUCCCAGGGCGUUCCCAGGAGCAGUCCAGACAUAGUCCGUCCCCAUCUUCCCCAGGGCCUCCUUGCGCCCGCGGCUCUGGUCUGGAUCACCUGACCUGGAAAUGGCCGUCAGAGAACCCAAACUCUAAGCCUAAGCCCAACGCUCCUCCCUUGU